RNAcentral lists this ribosomal RNA (435 nucleotides) under uncultured bacterium. Its description in RNAcentral is "partial 16S ribosomal RNA". It matches the Rfam family "Bacterial small subunit ribosomal RNA", at positions 28 to 507 of the family's 1533-position model. The record is from RNAcentral.
GAUGAACGCUGGCGGUAUGCUUAACACAUGCAAGUCGAACGGACUCUUCGGAGUUAGUGGCGGACGGGUGAGUAACGCGUGAGAAUCUGGCUCUGGGUUCGGGACAACCACUGGAAACGGUGGCUAAUACCGGAUGUGCCGAGAGGUAAAAGAGAAAUUGCCUGAAGAUGAGCUCGCGUCUGAUUAGCUAGUUGGUGAGGUAAAGGCUCACCAAGGCAGCGAUCAGUAGCUGGUCUGAGAGGAUGACCAGCCACACUGGGACUGAGACACGGCCCAGACUCCUACGGGAGGCAGCAGGGGGGAAUUUUCCGCAAUGGGCGAAAGCCUGACGGAGCAAUACCGCGUGAGGGAAGAAGGCUCUUGGGUUGUAAACCUCUUUUCUUAGGGAAGAACAAAAUGACGGUACCUAAGGAAUCAGCAUCGGCUAACUCCGUG